This 276-nucleotide ribosomal RNA is filed under the name Theileria annulata. RNAcentral's name for it is "partial small subunit ribosomal RNA". Lineage: Eukaryota; Apicomplexa; Aconoidasida; Piroplasmida; Theileriidae. The record is from RNAcentral.
CCCACUUUGAAAUUCGAGCAGUUAAAAAGCUCGUAGUUGAACACUGCUGCAUUGCUGUGUCCCUCUGGAGUCUGUGCRUGUGGCUUUUUUCGGACGGAGUUUCUUUGUCUGAAUGUUUACUUUGAGAAAAUUAGAGUGCUCAAAGCAGGCUUUCGCCUUGAAUAGUUUAGCAUGGAAUAAUAAAGUAGGACUUUGGUUCUAUUUUGUUGGUUUUAGGUACCAAAGUAAUGGUUAAUAGGAACAGUUGGGGGCAUUCGAAAAGUUGGGGGCAUUCGA